CAGCACCUUCCUCGAUCCAACCGGCGACACGCCCUCCGCCCCGACCCCAACCGGCACUGCUGCCACCACCUCACACCCAUCGGAGACGCGGCCUCCGCCCCACCCCCGACCGGAGAACCUGCCGCCGCCCGGCCAUGCCCCAACUGGAGACGCGGCCGCCGCCCACACCCAGUCCUGCACUUCACUCCCCCUCGAUCCCCC
Molecule: ribosomal RNA, 201 nt
Filed under: Triticum aestivum (bread wheat)
Lineage: Eukaryota; Viridiplantae; Streptophyta; Magnoliopsida; Poales; Poaceae
Description: partial small subunit ribosomal RNA
Source: RNAcentral